This 500-nucleotide ribosomal RNA is filed under the name uncultured bacterium. Its description in RNAcentral is "partial 16S ribosomal RNA". It matches the Rfam family "Bacterial small subunit ribosomal RNA", at positions 29 to 523 of the family's 1533-position model. The record is from RNAcentral.
AUUGAACGCUGGCGGAAUGCUUUACACAUGCAAGUCGAACGGCAGCACGGACUUCGGUCUGGUGGCGAGUGGCGAACGGGUGAGUAAUACAUCGGAACGUGCCCAGUCGUGGGGGAUAACGUAGCGAAGGCUACGCUAAUACCGCAUACGAUCUAAGGAUGAAAGCGGAGGAUCGCAAGACCUCGCGCGAUUGGAGCGGCCGAUGGCAGAUUAGGUAGUUGGCGGGGUAAAGGCCUACCAAGCCUGCGAUCGGUAGCUGGUCUGAGAGGACGCCCAGCCACACUGGGACUGAGACACGGCCCAGACUCCUACGGGAGGCAGCAGUGGGGAAUUUUGGACAAUGGGCGCAAGCCUGAUCCAGCCAUGCCGCGUGCGGGAAGAAGGCCUUCGGGUUGUAAACCGCUUUUGUCAGGGAAGAAAAGCCUUGGGUUAAUACCCUGGGGUGAUGACGGUACCUGAAGAAUAAGCACCGGCUAACUACGUGCCAGCAGCCGCCGUAA